CAACAACUGGAUAAUUUGAAUGUACCUGAUGUGGUUCACCAAGUUCUUACACAUUAUAGUGAGGUUCAGAUUCCCACAAGGAGAAACCCACUCUCACAGUCUACCCUGUGAAGACCCCUCAGAGUCUUAUUUCAGUAAGAUCUCCCACCGAUGGCUCCAAAGACACAGCCUUGAGGGAGCAACAGAAGUAACAAUACAGACUCCCAUUCCAGGGGAUUCCCUGCUUCAGAUGGAUGGACAAGUGUAGAACUGGGUGGCAGCAAGAGAAAGGCACUGGAGGAAGAUGGUUAGGAAGUUGUGGGCGUGCUUUGUCGGCGCUGGAAACAUGGCGACACUUGCGGGCUGCCCCCAGAACACUCUACGCAAAAGAUGCAUUUCACUGUGUGUUUCGAUGUGCAUGUGACUAAUAAAGAUAUCUCUUAUCUUAAAUCUA
Pristis pectinata (smalltooth sawfish) is the source of this 433-nucleotide long non-coding RNA. RefSeq lists it as uncharacterized. The transcript is spliced from 4 exons. NCBI's taxonomy places the organism in Eukaryota, Metazoa, Chordata, Chondrichthyes, Rhinopristiformes, Pristidae. The record is from RefSeq and is a predicted model, not a curated record.